CACAGUUCAAAUCCAAGGCCAUCCAGUCGAAAUAGUUAAUAUUAUUUAGAAGAGUAAUCACAUUUUAGAUUCAUUAAAUUUGUAUUUGUACCCAACGAUAAACAAUUGCUAAAGGAGUAUGAUUCUAAGCAGAGUAUUAUUAAUCGUAUUUAAUCACUUGUUAUCGAGGUAACCCAGAAAUCACAAAAUUUAUCAGUUUUUCUAAUUUAUUAAGAAAACUAAAAGUGAUAUAAACAAAAAUGACUGCCCUAAUGCACUAGAACAAAAGUUCUACAAAAAAGUUCCUAUAAAGUUUUUUUAUUUGAGCAAGAUCACAAACGCACAA
Cinara cedri is the source of this 325-nucleotide non-coding RNA. Lineage: Eukaryota; Metazoa; Arthropoda; Insecta; Hemiptera; Aphididae. The record is from the annotation of a GenBank genome assembly.